UGGCUCAGGAUGAACGCUAGCGGCAGGCCUAAUACAUGCAAGUCGAGGGGCAGCAGUACUUUUCGGAGUAGCUGGCGACCGGCGCACGGGUGCGUAACGCGUAUGCAAUCUACCCACAGCACAGGAUAGCCCGUGGAAACAUGGAUUAAUACCUGAUAACACAGGGAGCUCACCUGAGCACCUUGUUAAAGUUUGGCGGCAGUGGAUGAGCAUGCGUCCCAUUAGCUAGUUGGUAAGGUAACAGCUUACCAAGGCGAUGAUGGGUAGGGGUUCUGAGAGGAUGAUCCCCCACACUGGUACUGAGAUACGGACCAGACUCCUACGGGAGGCAGCAGUAGGGAAUAUGGUCAAUGGACGCAAGUCUGAACCAGCCAUGCCGCGUGCAGGAAGACGGCCUUCUGGGUUGUAAACUGCUUUUUUCAGGGAAGAAAACACUCUUGCGAGAGGGAUUGCCGGUACCUGAGGAAUAAGCACCGGCUAACUCCGUGCCAGCAGCCGCGGUAAUACGGAGGGUGCAAGCGUUGUCCGGAUUUAUGGGUUUAAAGGGUGCGUAGGCGGCCCGUUAAGUCAGUGGUGAAAGGUAUCAGCUCAACUGAUGAAGUGCCAUUGAAACUAACGGGCUUGAGUACAGACGAGGUAGGCGGAAUUUAUGGUGUAGCG
This 660-nucleotide ribosomal RNA is filed under the name uncultured bacterium. Its description in RNAcentral is "bacterial SSU rRNA". It matches the Rfam family "Bacterial small subunit ribosomal RNA", at positions 20 to 680 of the family's 1533-position model. RNAcentral also lists the same sequence under 1 other name. The record is from RNAcentral.